UUAACAACCCCAGAGACUGAAAUGCUUUAUGCAUUCACCUGCCUGCAAAUGGAUCUUGCAGACAAGCACUGCCAGCUUCCUCCAUGGCUCUGCCUCUCCAGUAGGUUUGAACUCUGUGUUGAAAGGACAGCUUUUCAUCAUAAAGGAAUCCACUGGUCUCAAGGUGAUUUGGUUCUUGGCCUCU
RNAcentral lists this small RNA (184 nucleotides) under Sus scrofa (pig). Its description in RNAcentral is "TUC338 (ENSSSCG00070027957.1)". The record is from RNAcentral. Lineage: Eukaryota; Metazoa; Chordata; Mammalia; Artiodactyla; Suidae.